This 1454-nucleotide ribosomal RNA is filed under the name uncultured bacterium. Its description in RNAcentral is "bacterial SSU rRNA". It matches the Rfam family "Bacterial small subunit ribosomal RNA". The record is from RNAcentral.
AUUGAACGCUGGCGGCAGGCUUAACACAUGCAAGUCGAACGAUGAUUAUCUAGCUUGCUAGAUAUGAUUAGUGGCGGACGGGUGAGUAACAUUUAGGAAUCUGCCUAGUAGUGGGGGAUAGCUCGGGGAAACUCGAAUUAAUACCGCAUACGACCUACGGGUGAAAGGGGGCGCAAGCUCUUGCUAUUAGAUGAGCCUAAAUCAGAUUAGCUAGUUGGUGGGGUAAAGGCCCACCAAGGCGACGAUCUGUAACUGGUCUGAGAGGAUGAUCAGUCACACCGGAACUGAGACACGGUCCGGACUCCUACGGGAGGCAGCAGUGGGGAAUAUUGGACAAUGGGGGCAACCCUGAUCCAGCCAUGCCGCGUGUGUGAAGAAGGCCUUUUGGUUGUAAAGCACUUUAAGCAGGGAGGAGAGGCUAAUGGUUAAUACCCAUUAGAUUAGACGUUACCUGCAGAAUAAGCACCGGCUAACUCUGUGCCAGCAGCCGCGGUAAUACAGAGGGUGCGAGCGUUAAUCGGAAUUACUGGGCGUAAAGCGAGUGUAGGUGGCUCAUUAAGUCACAUGUGAAAUCCCCGGGCUUAACCUGGGAACUGCAUGUGAUACUGGUGGUGCUAGAAUAUGUGAGAGGGAAGUAGAAUUCCAGGUGUAGCGGUGAAAUGCGUAGAGAUCUGGAGGAAUACCGAUGGCGAAGGCAGCUUCCUGGCAUAAUAUUGACACUGAGAUUCGAAAGCGUGGGUAGCAAACAGGAUUAGAUACCCUGGUAGUCCACGCCGUAAACGAUGUCUACUAGCCGUUGGGGUCCUUGAGACUUUAGUGGCGCAGUUAACGCGAUAAGUAGACCGCCUGGGGAGUACGGCCGCAAGGUUAAAACUCAAAUGAAUUGACGGGGGCCCGCACAAGCGGUGGAGCAUGUGGUUUAAUUCGAUGCAACGCGAAGAACCUUACCUGGUCUUGACAUAGUGAGAAUCCUGCAGAGAUGCGGGAGUGCCUUCGGGAAUUCACAUACAGGUGCUGCAUGGCUGUCGUCAGCUCGUGUCGUGAGAUGUUGGGUUAAGUCCCGCAACGAGCGCAACCCUUUUCCUUAUUUGCCAGCGGGUUAAGCCGGGAACUUUAAGGAUACUGCCAGUGACAAACUGGAGGAAGGCGGGGACGACGUCAAGUCAUCAUGGCCCUUACGACCAGGGCUACACACGUGCUACAAUGGUAGGUACAGAGGGUUGCUACACAGCGAUGUGAUGCUAAUCUCAAAAAGCCUAUCGUAGUCCGGAUUGGAGUCUGCAACUCGACUCCAUGAAGUCGGAAUCGCUAGUAAUCGCAGAUCAGAAUGCUGCGGUGAAUACGUUCCCGGGCCUUGUACACACCGCCCGUCACACCAUGGGAGUCUAUUGCACCAGAAGUAGGUAGCCUAACGAAAGAGGGCGCUUACCACGGUGUGGUCGAUGACUGGGGUG